UACGUAGGGUGCAAGCGUUAUCCGGAUUCAUUGGGCGUAAAGAGUUGCGUAGGCUGAUCAGUGCAUCUUGCUUAAAAUGCUAUGGCUUAACCAUAGUUUGGGCAAGAUAUGACUGAUCUAGAAGGAAGUGGGGGUACUAGAACCGAUGGUGAAGCAGUGAAAUGUGUUGAGAUCAUCGGGAAUACCAAAGGCGUAGGCAGGUACCUAAUUUUCUCUUGACGCUGAGGCACGAAAGCUUGGGGAGCGAAAAGG
Molecule: ribosomal RNA, 252 nt
Filed under: uncultured bacterium
Lineage: Bacteria
Description: partial 16S ribosomal RNA
Rfam family: Bacterial small subunit ribosomal RNA
Source: RNAcentral